UGAGCAAUCUGCCCUUCUCAUCGGAAUAAGCGUUGGAAACGACGUCUAAUGCCGAAUACGACCUCCUUUCGCAUGAUCGGAGGUGGAAAGCUCCGGCGGAGAAGGAUGAGCUCGCGGCCUAUCAGCUUGUUGGUGGGGUAAUGGCCCACCAAGGCGACGACGGGUAGCUGGUCUGAGAGGACGACCAGCCACACUGGAACUGAGAUACGGUCCAGACUCCGUAGGGAGG
RNAcentral lists this ribosomal RNA (229 nucleotides) under uncultured bacterium. Its description in RNAcentral is "partial 16S ribosomal RNA". It matches the Rfam family "Bacterial small subunit ribosomal RNA", at positions 118 to 348 of the family's 1533-position model. The record is from RNAcentral.